GUUUGAUCCUGGCUCAGAUUGAACGCUGGCGGCAUGCCUUACACAUGCAAGUCGAACGGUAACGCGGGGGCAACCCUGGCGACGAGUGGCGAACGGGUGAGUAAUAUAUCGGAACGUGCCCAAUAGUGGGGGAUAGCUCGGCGAAAGCCGGAUUAAUACCGCAUACGCCCUACGGGGGAAAGCGGGGGAUCGAAAGACCUCGCGCUAAUGGAGCGGCCGAUAUCUGAUUAGCUAGUUGGUGAGGUAAAAGCUCACCAAGGCUGCGAUCAGUAGCUGGUCUGAGAGGACGACCAGCCACACUGGGACUGAGACACGGCCCAGACUCCUACGGGAGGCAGCAGUGGGGAAUUUUGGACAAUGGGGGCAACCCUGAUCCAGCAAUGCCGCGUGAGUGAAGAAGGCCUUCGGGUUGUAAAGCUCUUUUGUCCGGGAAGAAAUCCUUUUGGCUAAUAUCCAGAAGGGAUGACGGUACUGGAAGAAUAAGCACCGGCUAACUACGUGCCAGCAGCCGCGGUAAUACGUAGGGUGCAAGCGUUAAUCGGAAUUACUGGGCGUAAAGCGUGCGCAGGCGGUUGUGCAAGACAGAUGUGAAAUCCCCGGGCUUAACCUGGGAACUGCAUUUGUGACUGCACGGCUAGAGUGUGUCAGAGGGGGGUAGAAUUCCACGUGUAGCAGUGAAAUGCGUAGAGAUGUGGAGGAAUACCGAUGGCGAAGGCAGCCCCCUGGGAUAACACUGACGCUCAUGCACGAAAGCGUGGGGGAGCAAACAGGAUUAGAUACCCUGGUAGUCCACGCCCUAAACGAUGUCAACUAGUUGUCGGGUCUUAAUUGACUUGGUAACGCAGCUAACGCGUGAAGUUGACCGCCUGGGGAGUACGGUCGCAAGAUUAAAACUCAAAGGAAUUGACGGGGACCCGCACAAGCGGUGGAUGAUGUGGAUUAAUUCGAUGCAACGCGAAAAACCUUACCUACCCUUGACAUGUCUGGAACCCUGCUGAGAGGUGGGGGUGCUCGAAAGAGAACCAGAACACAGGUGCUGCAUGGCUGUCGUCAGCUCGUGUCGUGAGAUGUUGGGUUAAGUCCCGCAACGAGCGCAACCCUUGUCAUUAGUUGCUACGAAAGGGCGCUCUAAUGAGACUGCCGGUGACAAACCGGAGGAAGGUGGGGAUGACGUCAAGUCCUCAUGGCCCUUAUGGGUAGGGCUUCACACGUCAUACAAUGGUACAUACAGAGGGCUGCCAACCCGCGAGGGGGAGCUAAUCCCAGAAAGUGUAUCGUAGUCCGGAUUGUAGUCUGCAACUCGACUACAUGAAGUUGGAAUCGCUAGUAAUCGCGGAUCAGCAUGUCGCGGUGAAUACGUUCCCGGGUCUUGUACACACCGCCCGUCACACCAUGGGAGCGGGUUUUACCAGAAGUGGGUAGCCUAACCGCAAGGAGGGCGCUUACCACGGUAGGAUUCGUGACUGGGGUGAAGUCGUAACAAGGUAGCCG
This 1491-nucleotide ribosomal RNA is filed under the name uncultured Herbaspirillum sp. RNAcentral's name for it is "16S ribosomal RNA". It matches the Rfam family "Bacterial small subunit ribosomal RNA". The record is from RNAcentral. Lineage: Bacteria; Pseudomonadati; Pseudomonadota; Betaproteobacteria; Burkholderiales; Oxalobacteraceae.